Molecule: small nuclear RNA, 111 nt
Organism: Camelus dromedarius (Arabian camel)
Lineage: Eukaryota; Metazoa; Chordata; Mammalia; Artiodactyla; Camelidae
Source: Ensembl
GUGCUUGCUUCAGCAGCACAUAUACCAAGACUGGAACGAUACAGAGACAGACGAUUAGCAUGACCCCUGCGCAAGGAUGACAUGCAAAUUUGUGAAGCAUCCCAUAUUUAA